GAUGAACGCUGGCGGCGUGCCUAAUACAUGCAAGUCGAGCGAACAGACGAGGAGCUUGCUCCUCUGACGUUAGCGGCGGACGGGUGAGUAACAGGUGGAUAACCUACCUAUAAGACUGGGAUAAGUUCGGGAAACCGGAGCUAAUACCGGAUAAUAUAUUGAACCGCAUGGUUCAAUAGUGAAAUACGGGUGUGCUGUCACUGAUAGAUGGAUCCGCGCUGCAUGAGCUAGUGGGUAAGGAAACGGCUUACCAGGGCAACAUGGCGUAGCAGGCCUGCGAGGGUGAUCGGGCCCGCUGGGAGUGAGGCCCGCUCCAGACUCCUGCGGGAGGCCGCAGUCGGGAAUCUUCCGGAAUGGGCGAAUGCCUGACGGAGCAACGCCGCGUGAGUCAUGAAGGUCUUCUGAUCGUAAACCUCUGUUAUUAGGGAAACACAAAUGUGUAAGUAACUAUGCACGUCUUGACGGUACCUAAUCAGAAAGCCACGGCUAACUACGUG
Molecule: ribosomal RNA, 497 nt
Filed under: uncultured bacterium
Lineage: Bacteria
Description: partial 16S ribosomal RNA
Rfam family: Bacterial small subunit ribosomal RNA
Source: RNAcentral